Molecule: small RNA, 690 nt
Filed under: Enallax costatus
Lineage: Eukaryota; Viridiplantae; Chlorophyta; Chlorophyceae; Sphaeropleales; Scenedesmaceae
Description: eukaryotic LSU rRNA
Rfam family: 5.8S ribosomal RNA (bases 249-402)
Source: RNAcentral
AACAAGGUCUCCGUAGGUGAACCUGCGGAGGGAUCAUUGAAUUAUUAAAACCACAAUGUGAACCUCAACGUUCCAUGCCUUGGCUUGCCAGUGGGGCAUUCGGUUUAAAACCCGUUUGUACUCACAGCUGGGUGGGCAUUGCUGCCUGCUCAGUGGCGCCUUGGCAUGACUAUACACCAGUGCUAACCACUGUUAAAACCAAACUCUGAAGUUGUGAUUGCUAGUAACUGGCAAUCUUAACCAAAGACAACUCUCAACAACGGAUAUCUUGGCUCUCGCAACGAUGAAGAACGCAGCGAAAUGCGAUACGUAGUGUGAAUUGCAGAAUUCCGUGAACCAUCGAAUCUUUGAACGCAUAUUGCGCUCGAGCCUUCGGGCAAGAGCAUGUCUGCCUCAGCGUCGGUUUACACCCUCACCCCUCCCAACUUGUUGGGUGUGUUUGCUUCUAUAGCAGACCAUUGGGGUGGAUCUGGCUUCCCCAAUUUGCCCUUGUCGGCAGAUUGGGUUGGCUGAAGUGCAGAGGCUUAAGCAAGGACCCGAUAUGGGCUUCAACUGGAUAGGUAGCACCGGCUUCUGCCGACUACACGAAGUUGUUGCUUGUGGAUCUUGCUAGGGGCCAAGCAGGAACGUGCCUUUUGGCAUGUCUAAACUUUCGACCUGAGCUCAGGCAAGGCUACCCGCUGAACUUAA